CUGGCGGCGUGCUUACACAUGCAAGUCGAACGGAAAGGCCUGCAGCUUGCUGCGGGUACUCGAGUGGCGAACGGGUGAGUAACACGUGGGUGAUCUGCCUUGCACUUCGGGAUAAGCUUGGGAAACUGGGUCUAAUACCGGAUAGGACAGCUGUUUAGUGUCAGUUGUGGAAAGUUUUUUCGGUGCAAGAUGAGCUCGCGGCCUAUCAGCUUGUUGGUGGGGUAAUGGCCUACCAAGGCGUCGACGGGUAGCCGGCCUGAGAGGGUGUACGGCCACAUUGGGACUGAGAUACGGCCCAGACUCCUACGGGAGGCAGCAGUGGGGAAUAUUGCACAAUGGGCGGAAGCCUGAUGCAGCGACGCCGCGUGGGGGAUGAAGGCCUUCGGGUUGUAAACUCCUUUCGACAGGGACGAAGCGUAAGUGACGGUACCUGUAUAAGAAGCACCGGCUAACUACGUGCCAGCAGCCGCGGUAAUACGUAGGGUGCGAGCGUUGUCCGGAAUUACUGGGCGUAAAGAGCUCGUAGGUGGUUUGUCGCGUCGUCUGUGAAAUUCCGGGGCUUAACUCCGGGCGUGCAGGCGAUACGGGCUGACUUGAGUGCUGUAGGGGAGACUGGAAUUCCUGGUGUAGCGGUGAAAUGCGCAGAUAUCAGGAGGAACACCGAUGGCGAAGGCAGGUCUCUGGGCAGUAACUGACGCUGAGGAGCGAAAGCAUGGGUAGCGAACAGG
This 728-nucleotide ribosomal RNA is filed under the name Corynebacterium striatum. RNAcentral describes it as "bacterial SSU rRNA". It matches the Rfam family "Bacterial small subunit ribosomal RNA", at positions 36 to 776 of the family's 1533-position model. The record is from RNAcentral. Lineage: Bacteria; Bacillati; Actinomycetota; Actinomycetes; Mycobacteriales; Corynebacteriaceae.